UACGUAGGGCGCAAGCGUUGUCCGGAUUCACUGGGGGUAAAGGGUGCGCAGGCGGGAAAGUAAGUUAGAGGUGAAAUCUCACAGCUCAACUGUGAAACUGCCUUUGAUACUGCUUUUCUUGAGUUAGGGAGAGGUUGAUGGAAUUCCAGGUGUAGCGGUGAAAUGCGUAGAUAUCUGGAGGAACACCGGUGGCGAAGGCGGCAUCCUGGACCGACACUGACGCUGAGGAGCGAAAGCCAGGGGAGCAAACGGG
Molecule: ribosomal RNA, 253 nt
Filed under: uncultured bacterium
Lineage: Bacteria
Description: partial 16S ribosomal RNA
Rfam family: Bacterial small subunit ribosomal RNA
Source: RNAcentral